This is a long non-coding RNA of Mesocricetus auratus (golden hamster), 726 nucleotides long. RefSeq lists it as uncharacterized. The record is from RefSeq and is a predicted model, not a curated record. NCBI's taxonomy places the organism in Eukaryota, Metazoa, Chordata, Mammalia, Rodentia, Cricetidae. The transcript is spliced from 3 exons.
ACAGCCUGCAACAGACACCACAGGCCACAGCAUUAUAAGUGGCUCUAUGCAACAGCCACUAUUGUACUCCAUAGACCAGCUGGAGGGGAGAAGGAGACACCCCAGAAUGUGGACACCACAGACCAGAGAUCAGCCUAGGAUGGGAGAUCCAAGCCCCCAAGUCCUGCUCCAUCUCUUUCCCUCAGUUUCCCUAUUUGCAAAAGGUUCUUCCAGAUAAAGUUACAAGAGCUGGCUGAGCUUGUGAUCACAAAGCCUCACAUGAAGAUGGAAGGCAUCCAUGCCCGUACCCCAUCACCUUCUCGAGGAGGCCUGUCCUCCCUGAGGCUGGAGGCUGUGUCUGAGGCUCACCGGAGCGCUGCUCGAUGACUUGUUUCCGUCUACUGCAGUCAUUACCCUGCAGGCAACAUUCACACACCGUCCAGUGGGGCUGCGGGCUCGGAGGCCUCUCCAUGGCUGCUGCUGUGCCAUCCCUGUGACCUCAUGAGCCCUUGGUGGAGUUUUACAGGAGCAAUUUUAAGAUGGCUAUGUCGGUGUCCCCACUGAAGCCUUCUGGAAGCUCCUCGUUUGUCUCUCUGCUGGCUCCCAUGAGGAUGGGGGUGAAUGAAAGGACUUUCAGAGUCACCACAACAAUUCUUAACAGUGGCUCCCCACCAGCUCCACACCCAGAUUCGUUUUUCCUCAUUUGUUUCAAAUAUAAAAAUUAUUAAACUUUUCUUUUCAAUUAUA